Acanthopagrus latus (yellowfin seabream) is the source of this 605-nucleotide long non-coding RNA. RefSeq lists it as uncharacterized. The record is from RefSeq and is a predicted model, not a curated record. Lineage: Eukaryota; Metazoa; Chordata; Actinopteri; Spariformes; Sparidae. The transcript is spliced from 4 exons.
UUUGUAUGAGAGAAAAGUCUAACAAAUAGCCUGUAAACUAACAUAUUUCAAGGAAACUUCCAGCUGGUUUCUGCUUAAUUUUUUCAUUCCAGUUUGUCUUCCAACUAGUUUCUGUCCAACUUGCCCCCCGGCAGGCCACUCAAUCCAAGUGUUUUAUGAGCUACAGGCACACAGGAUCAAGGAGAAAUCCAAACGUGUGACCUCACUCCUUCGCCUGAGAUGGCUGAUGCACAGCUACUUUCCUCAGGUCCCAUCUUCCCUGAGUGGCCCAUCUCGCCUUUAAGCCCCAUCUCUCCUGGCACUCCUGGGGAAGAAAAGGCAGUAGGACAGCAGUGGAUGAGAAGAGGAGGAACACAUGGAGAGAACUAAUCGUUUUUCAGACAAAUGAUCUCUGCGAGCCCUGAGGCUGUUUUCCAACAAUCACUGCAUAGUUUUGUUCCUGCAACUGAUGCCGCCUCUGCUAUCGGAGGAGAGAAUGCUGAUUGUGGAGCGAAGACAGUCCAUCACAAAGUGUUGAAAGUGAUCCAUAUUGAUUGUUUGUUAUUACUUCUGAUCAGACUUGUUGUCAUCACAAUGUCUGUCACAUAUUACAAACCUUCUCUGCU